This is a long non-coding RNA of Tupaia belangeri chinensis (Chinese tree shrew), 730 nucleotides long. RefSeq lists it as uncharacterized. The transcript has 2 exons. NCBI's taxonomy places the organism in Eukaryota, Metazoa, Chordata, Mammalia, Scandentia, Tupaiidae. The record is from RefSeq and is a predicted model, not a curated record.
GGCUGGGCACCUUACAGACACCUCUCUACAGAAGAUGGUACUGGGACAAUAAAAUCAUUAUGAUUAGUGACCUGUUAGUGUUCUCUACUGUGGCAGAUACAAACCUGUGGCAUCCACUUUACUGAGAAAAGUAUCCUAGAAAGAAAACUUUAACUCUAGGUUUUAUGUAACAAUCUAUUCCUGGUAUGAAACAAUUCUUUAAACUGGUUUUUCUGCUUGAGAACGGAUUUAGGAGAUGGGAUUUAACCCUCUAGACAGAGAUAAGUUGGAUUUCACGAGUGUUCCUGUGUUUGUACUCAGUCUGUACACACACGUUCCUACGCAUGUCUAACCUGAUUUACCUCUUACCUGUAAUGUACCUUACCAUGUGGCUUUUAAUUGGCAGCCACUCAGCCAUUUCUAGGCAGGUAUAGUAUUACCUUUCAGAAAUCAUACUGGUAGGUAAAAACAAAAAAAAUGACCUGAAGUUAAUUAAGGACAAAACCACUGCAUACUAAGCUAUUUCCCUUUGAGGUGCUAAACAUGCACCUCACACCCACCCAGUAACAAGUAGUGGGAGACGAACAGCUCUGAAAGGUCAUACUGCCUGUGAGGAAGUGAGCCGAGGUGGCCUUUGCAAUUGUGAAUCUUGCGCUCUAUUUCUGAGUGGAUUUCAGGUUUAACUGUUUGUUAACUGUACUGAAGGCGUGUUAAGAGGAAAUGUUCAAAUUAAAAAAGCUGCUGCUGAGUA